RNAcentral lists this small RNA (213 nucleotides) under unclassified sequences. RNAcentral's name for it is "DUF2693 RNA". It matches the Rfam family "DUF2693 RNA". The record is from Rfam by way of RNAcentral.
GAUCUUUGACAUAUUUGGUAAGCGAUAGUAACAAAACAAGAGAUAAUCAUGUGGGGACGCACAUCCCCACCAGUGACUAACCGCCCUUCGGGGCACUAUCGUUAGCCCUAGACCUAUUGUGCUAGGGGAGAAGCCAAGGAGAGGCAGCGGGUGAGUAAGCACUCCCUCCACCACUUGCUUGGACACUCGGUGAGCGAAACACCCUGACGAUGC